Molecule: RNA transcript, 2021 nt
Organism: Macadamia integrifolia
Lineage: Eukaryota; Viridiplantae; Streptophyta; Magnoliopsida; Proteales; Proteaceae
Gene name: 7-dehydrocholesterol reductase
Exons: 14
Source: RefSeq, a predicted model, not a curated record
CGCACGCAAUAAGCCGAUUUUUCAAGUCUCCCAACUCCUGUCCUCUGCAGUCUGUGUUUCACAGAGAGAGAGAGAGAGAGAGAGAGAGAGAGAGAGAGACAGAGAGUGGGAGCGCAAUGGGGGAAACAAAGAUGGUUCACUCACCACUGAUUACUUAUUUCUCGAUGCUCUCUCUUCUCACUCUAUGUCCUCCCUUCGUUAUACUUCUAUGGUAUACGAUGGUUCAUGCUGAUGGGUCUGUUCUUCAAACUUUUAAUUACUUAAGACAGCACGGUUUGCAGGGAUUUAUAGACAUUUGGCCAAAACCAACUGCUGCUGCAUGGAAAAUCAUUGGAUGUUUUGCAGCGUUUGAAGCUGUGCUUCAACUCCUCCUACCUGGAAAAAGGGUUGAAGGACCGAUCUCUCCAGCAGGGAAUCGACCUGUCUACAAGGCAAAUGGUGUGGCAGCAUAUGCAGUAACUUUGGUAACAUAUUUCUGCCUGUGGUGGUUUGGAAUAUUCAACCCUGCUAUAGUUUAUGACCAUCUGGGAGAAAUAUAUUCAGCACUUAUUUUUGGAAGCUUUAUCUUCUGCAUUUUCUUAUACCUCAAAGGUCAUGUGGCACCUUCUUCUUCAGAUUCUGGAUCGUCAGGGAACCUAAUUAUUGAUUUCUAUUGGGGGAUGGAGCUCUAUCCUCGUAUAGGAAAGCAUUUUGAUAUAAAGGUUUUCACCAACUGCAGAUUUGGCAUGAUGUCCUGGGCUGUUCUUGCUGUAACCUACUGUAUCAAACAGUAUGAAGAGCAGGGGAGAGUAGCUGACUCUAUGCUUGUAAAUACUGCAUUGAUGCUUGUUUACGUCACUAAGUUUUUUUGGUGGGAAGCUGGAUACUGGAACACAAUGGAUAUUGCACAUGAUCGAGCUGGCUUUUAUAUUUGUUGGGGAUGCUUGGUUUGGGUUCCUUCUGUUUAUACUUCUCCUGGCAUGUACCUAGUCAAUCAUCCUGUAAAUCUUGGUAUUCAGCUUGCACUUCUUAUUCUUGCUGCUGGUAUUAUGUGCAUAUAUAUUAACUAUGACUGUGACCGGCAAAGGCAAGAAUUCCGCAGAACAAAUGGAAAGUGCUUAGUUUGGGGGAAAGCUCCAUCCAAGAUAGAGGCCGCAUAUCGUACCACAAAUGGGGAAAUGAAAUCUAGCCUUCUUUUGACCUCAGGAUGGUGGGGUUUAUCUCGUCACUUUCACUAUGUACCAGAAAUAUCAGCUUCUUUCUUUUGGACAGUACCAGCUCUUUUCAACCACUUUCUACCAUACUUCUAUGUGGUGUUUCUGACAAUCCUUCUUUUUGACCGGGCCAAGAGAGAUGAUGAUCGUUGUAAAGACAAGUAUGGGAAAUACUGGAAGUUGUACUGCAAUAAGGUUCCUUACAGGAUCAUUCCAGGAAUCUACUGAUGAAUUUUGGAUGGACAAAGCCUGCUCCUUGUGAAUCGUCAAUGGCAUAUUGUGUAUGAGUGGCUGGUUCUGAAUACGGACACCUACCAGUCGAAACUUGGAUUUACGUUUCCAUCGUAGUUUUAAUUCUGUAGCUGAAGCAGACAGUUGUUUUUGUUCUUAGCUGUAUUAAAUAAUGAUUUUAGUAGUUGGUCGGAGCAAGAAAUGACUUUGCUUAAUGACUGGCAUUUUUUGCAUACCAGACACUGUCCUGGUGGCACAAAAUACAAGGAACGGUGGGGGUGCCAUUCAGCAUUGGGAGUCUUGGACACUGUCCUGGAUGUCCCUUUUAAAACACUUGUCUGAAGCACUUUUAAGCCUCUGAUGCUGAUCCGUUGUUAGCCAAUAAUGUGAGGAGUUUUAGGGUCUGUAUGGCAGUGUUCAAAAGAAACACUUGUGGUGUUUUUAUGCUGAUAUGGCCAGUCCGCCCUUGUUUUGGUGAAGCUAUAGUCUGAAUUGAGAUGCCUAAUCGUCUUUCUCCUGUAUCCUCCCCACUGGAGUUUUCCCUUCAUGUUUUCCACUGUUAAAAUGCUUAAGGAAGGCUUUAUUUGUGAAUGUGUA